GUGCUCGCUUUGGCAGCACAUAUACUAAAAUUGGAACGAUACAGAGAAGAUUAGCAUGGCCCCUGCACAAGGAUGACACGCAAAUUCGUGAAGCAUUCCAUAUUUUA
RNAcentral lists this small nuclear RNA (107 nucleotides) under Canis lupus familiaris (dog). Lineage: Eukaryota; Metazoa; Chordata; Mammalia; Carnivora; Canidae. The record is from RNAcentral.